CAGCAGCCGCGGGAAUACAGAGGGUGCAAGCGUUAAUCGGAUUUACUGGGCGUAAAGGGCGCGUAGGUGGUUAUUUAAGUGAGAUGUGAAAGCCCCGGGCUUAACCUGGGAACUGCAUCUUAUACUGGGUAACUGGAGUGCAGUAGAGGGUAGUGGAAUUUCCGGUGUAGCGGUGAAAUGCGUAGAGAUGUGGAGGAAUACCGAUGGCGAAGGCAGCCCCCUGGGCCAAUACUGACGCUCAUGCACGAAAGCGUGGGGAGCAAACAGGAUUAGAUACCCCUGUAGUCCCUGUCUCUUAUAC
Molecule: ribosomal RNA, 301 nt
Filed under: uncultured bacterium
Lineage: Bacteria
Description: partial 16S ribosomal RNA
Rfam family: Bacterial small subunit ribosomal RNA
Source: RNAcentral